Molecule: ribosomal RNA, 440 nt
Filed under: uncultured Rhodospirillaceae bacterium
Lineage: Bacteria; Pseudomonadati; Pseudomonadota; Alphaproteobacteria; Rhodospirillales; Rhodospirillaceae
Description: bacterial SSU rRNA
Rfam family: Bacterial small subunit ribosomal RNA
Source: RNAcentral
CCUACGGGGGGCUGCAGUGGGGAAUAUUGGGCAAUGGAGGCAACUCUGACCCAGCCAUGCCGCGUGGGUGACGAAGGUCUUCGGAUUGUAAAGCCCUUUCGGCGGGGACGAUGAUGACGGUACCCGCAGAAGAAGCCCCGGCUAACUUCGUGCCAGCAGCCGCGGUAAUACGAAGGGGGCUAGCGUUGUUCGGAAUUACUGGGCGUAAAGGGCGUGUAGGCGGCCCGUUAAGACAGGUGUGAAAUUCCUGGGCUCAACCCAGGACGUGCGCCUGUGACUGGCGGGCUUGAGUCCGGGAGAGGAUGGUGGAACUCCCAGUGUAGAGGUGAAAUUCGUAGAUAUUGGGAAGAACACCCGUGGCGAAGGCGGCCAUCUGGACCGGUACUGACGCUAAGGCGCGACAGCGUGGGGAGCAAACAGGAUUAGAUACCCUAGUAGUC